This 25-nucleotide non-coding RNA is filed under the name Rattus norvegicus (Norway rat). The record is from RNAcentral. Lineage: Eukaryota; Metazoa; Chordata; Mammalia; Rodentia; Muridae.
GGACCAAUAUGAAGGCGAGGCCAGG